This is a non-coding RNA of Hyphomonadaceae bacterium BRH_c29, 363 nucleotides long. NCBI's taxonomy places the organism in Bacteria, Pseudomonadati, Pseudomonadota, Alphaproteobacteria, Hyphomonadales, Hyphomonadaceae. The record is from Rfam.
CCCCUUCCAUCGGGGGGCGGGUGCCCCUAUAUUGAUCAUGUCUUCGGACUAUGGCGAUAAACGCGCGUGUAAUAAGCGGCUCGGACCCGGGGGCGGUACCCGGCGGCUCCACCAAAAGCAGGUUCAGGCCUUUUCACCGGGCCUGUUUCUGACGGGGCCGAAAUAGGAUCGACGGACGUGUAAAGACGAGGCCUUCGCCGGAUUGGGCCCCCUCAGAAGCCCAAAUCAACAUAGUUGCAAACGACAACUUUGCUGAAGGUGAACUGCUCGCAGCGUAAGCUGUGCGCGGAUUACCGCUCUAACUCCUAGGGAUUCAGCUCCCUAGGCGGGGCCCGGAGGCGCCUGGCAACAGAAGCCUCCACU